UCUCCGUUGGUGAACCAGCGGAGGGAUCAUUACAGGACUCGCAAGACUCCUACAACCCUGUGAACUUAACUAUAAGCACGUUGCUUCGGCGGGUGUCUCGGAGGGGGUUCUCCCUCCCCGAGACGCUAAACCCGCCGGCAGCCUACUAUACUCUGUCUCUUUGCGUUGGCAUCUCGAGUACAAUCAAACAAGUUAAAGCUUUCAACAACGGAUCUCUUGGUUCUG
RNAcentral lists this unclassified non-coding RNA (225 nucleotides) under plant metagenome. RNAcentral describes it as "partial contains small subunit ribosomal RNA, internal transcribed spacer 1, and 5.8S ribosomal RNA". The record is from RNAcentral.